Phalacrocorax carbo (great cormorant) is the source of this 5197-nucleotide non-coding RNA. The record is from RefSeq and is a predicted model, not a curated record. Lineage: Eukaryota; Metazoa; Chordata; Aves; Suliformes; Phalacrocoracidae.
CAGCCUUUAAGUGUCCUCCGCCGGCGGGGCUCUCGCGGCGGCGUCCUGUGAGGCGCCUCCUCCCGUGAGGCUUCGCCCGCCGCGCCCGCAGCCGUCCCGGUGGGCCGUUAACGGUCCGUGGGGUGCUGCCGCCGCGAGGCCCCCGGCACCGGCCGAGCCUGCGGAGAGCCCGAGGCGGCUGGGAGAGCCCGGGGGGGAGGAGAGCCCCAGGGCGUUCGGGGGAUCUUGCCGAGUUUUUGUCCAGCAAAAGCUGUGGGCCGCUGGCAGAAAUCAAGUGGCGCAGCCCCGGGUCUUGAAAUUGUGCAGAAGCUAAUGUGCCUUACUGUGUAGAUGGAAACCAAUAAGCAGGAACUGGCAGAAGGAAUCAUUGAACAUACAAACCCAAUCCCCUGCACUGCCUGUCACCUCACUGGAGGAACUGGGACAGACUGUGCGUGUAACUCCAUCAGUGAUCAAAAACUUGUAUUAACUGACUGUGCAUUAAGUAAAAAUCUCCAAGUUGUACUGGCCUGUCUAUGACACCAUGGUUGCAGGCCUCUUUGGAGUUAGAAGACAUGAUCAUGCAGGAAGUCUCUGAGUCACAGAUUGCUGGAGGCUGGGAGAAUGUAUACAAGUUAUAUAGUCUAUGUUUGCCCUGUUCAUAUGCUCUCCCCUAGGCAUCUGCUAAUAGCCAUUGUUGGGAAUCGGAUACUGGGCUAAAGAGAUCUUUGGUUUUACCUGUUAUGGCUGUUCUUAUGGUUUAUUUCUAUAUGGCUCCAGGAAGAACAACAGCUACUCUGUGGCUUUGCAGCUUGUUAUUCAGUAUGGAGAUACUUUUCAGUUUUCUGGCCAUGUGCAGUCAAGAAGGGGGAGAAGUUCAAGAAAUUUAUUAAAGUGUGAAGGAAAAUAUUAGGCCUUUCCAUUUAUAGAAGAUACAUAAAUCAUGCAAAACUGAAAGGAAGGACAGUGAAAACAAAGUACAAUGAAGAGCUAGGGCAGGUGUUCUUCAUUGAUAGAGAAAGAGCAGAGGAACAAAGAAUCUACUAUUAAGUCAAGGCUUGAACUGAGGAAGACACUAUAUGAAAGGGAAGCAGUAAGCACUGUAGCAAAUAAUACAGUAAAAGCAACACAAAAUGUUUACAUAGCAUUUUAAGAACAAAUGGAGGUGGUAAUUUCUGAAACAUUUUUGAAACUUUUGAAUUUUUUUGAAAAAAACCCAACCAUUAAAGGAACACAUUUUGUAAAUAUUAUGAGUUCUCAUUAAAAGGGCAGUGUUUUUAUUGAUGCACUAAUUCACCUGUUCAAAAUGCUUCAGUCAUCAAAUGAUGGAAUUUAGAAUUGCAAUGUUUGUGUGUAUGUGUGUGUGCAUGUGUGCAUUUGUGGUUUGGGUGAAACUGGUAUUUUUUAAUUUGAAUCAGACAAAGGUGGGGUCAGGGUGUUUUCUUUCAGGCAUUUAUUUAUCAUAGCUUACAGUUUGCUUUGUUGUUCAAAUAGUAUGUGACUCCACCCUUUCUCAUUAUUGCCAAGCAGGGAUAUAAGGCUGCUUUAGAGAGUUUCUAAGUUGACACUAAUGAAGUAUCAAGUUGCUUUCUAAUGCUUUUAGGAGCAAGACUUUGGAGGGGAAGUGGUAAGCAUUGUAUCAUGACUGCAAAAAUCUGUCACUCUAGAAUGAAACAAUGCUGAAAGAAAAUUCUUAUACUAACCUGUUCCUUAUUUAAUUGCAAAUAAAUUGUCGCCUUUCACUCCUUUCCAAACUUCCUGUGUAGUUGCCAGUGCGAGUCCAGGAUUGCAACUGCUGUGUUUAAGAAUGUGUGGGUUUGAUCUCCUGAAAGUAUUUCAAAGAAAUAUGCAGACAGUAAAUGUAAGCAUACCUUUGUCUCCCCCACAGACAGGCUACCAGAAGUGGUUGCUCAUGCUGGAAGGAAAUAGUGCUUUAUGCUAAGGGUGUCACAAAUCACACCCAAUGUCUCCAAUGCAAAUGUAGAGCUCCAGGAAGCAAACUGUUUCCUUCUACCCCAGUACUCCCUGCAGGGUGAUGCAACUCUACUGCUUUAGAGUAGAACAGUAGCUGCAGCCAAGGGUUAGUUCCUGAAAAUUAUUGGUGAAAAGGAAAAUCAACCCUGUUAACUACUUCUGUAUAUGAAAGUGGGUCAUGAGCCCAUACAAAUUUGUUUUGCUUGGACCUUGUCCAUUAUAGCAUUUCUUGAUUUUCACGAGUCCUAAAAUAGCAGGGAAGAGGGAGAGUGGCGUGGAUGAAAAUGAAGGCAAAUUGUCAGUCUCCUUGGGAAUGCUGUCAGUACGCUUCCUGCUACUGAAAUGUGUUUCUUACUUAGUGCUAAACCUUAAAAAAAAAUGUACCUUGUUUCAGUGGUAGCUGCUGGAAAUUAGUUUAUUGCAGAAUUUGGUUUUAUUCCAGUGUAACACACAGAGAAUGUCAUCUGUGUCCUCUAUUAUGAACUUUUCCAUCUCUCCUCAGUAGUGGUCACCUGUUCUUUUGCCAGAUGUAGGUUUGUUCUCAGACUUAGCACAAAUAUUCGUCAAAAUCUAGGUGUGUAGCACACUAGCAGACAGCACCAUGUCCAAAAGCAGAAGGAGCAACUACGCAAGAGAGAGGAUUCAUCAGAGGUCAGGGAGGAACAUUUCUCGUAGCUGACUAAUAGUAAGGGAUGGGCAAACUUUGUGUUGUUUUGAGGUUUUGUGAACCUUGUGAACUGUACUUUUGGUUUCACAGGGUUUGUGAACUGUUCCCUCUUCCACCUUGUCCUUAUCCCCAUGGUAUUUUUCAGGAUGGAAGUUUUGUUGAUUUUUUUUUUUUUACUGUAAAAGAGAUACGUCUUUCUGUAUGUCUUAAUGCUUGAAUAAUCUUUCCACUUUGGCAGGUUCUCAGCAAACUACUGGGUGUGAGCAGUUUCUGUCCAUAUAAUCUCUUCUUUUUCUCUGUAUUUGCAUUUUAAUGAUAUUUUCCUUUCAGUGUUAAAGCACAAUACAGGAAAGGAACCUUCUGGGUCAGUAUCAAGAGGAACUACAACUUAUUCUUUCAGUAGGUCUCUCUAGUUCCAGUUUUAAAUGAGUUAAGCUUUUUUCCUUUACUCUUCAUUUAAUCUAAAUAAUAUGAUUUUGUAUAAUUCUAUAGUACAUACUUUUAAACUAUGUUUGUAUAACAGUUGUCCUCUCUUCUCCCUUUUUCAGUCACUCAACUGAUUGUUGAAAGCACAAGUCAGAAUCAGGACCCUCCUGGUUUCAUUAAGUGCUUGCACCACUGAGUCAGGUCCUUGGACUCCACAAAAUUUAAGAGGAUUUUAGAAUAGAAAACCAUGUUCCUUCUUCAUUUUAAUGUGUAGGAAUGUCCUCAGACUGACUCUCAAAGAGAUAGUUUUAUAUUACUACCCUCUCAUUUAAGUCUCUGUUAUACCGUGCAUGUCUGUGCCAUGUUUAAAACAGGUUGUUUUAUUGUGUGCACUGCUACCACUUUGCAUUUGAUGAAUUGUAAAGAGAGAAACUUCCUCAGACAUUACAUUGGGAUGACCGGCAAGGUGACCUGAAAGGAAAUAGUCAAUAAUUUGGGAACUUUGUUUAGUGAAUUGUGAUUUGAAUAUCUUCAUCUUAUAAAUGGAAUAGAGGGGUUUUUUUUGGGGGGAUAGUAUUUCGGUAGAUCAUUGCUGUGUUCUAAAUUUUACCUUUAGUGGAUGCCAAUUAUGUUAAUGAAUUCUAGCUGGCCAAUCAAAGAAGAGUCAAAGCUAUUUUCUGUUUGCUAAGUAUACUAAUUGAGAUUGCUAUACACAGUUUAAUUGUGCUGGUAAAUACUCUAAUGUUUCAUUUCUAAACAGUUCCUCUUUUAAUGGAGGGGGAGGAGUGGGGAAUUUAGUAAUUUACUAAAAAUGAAGACAUAUUUUCUAAUUACACAGAUUAUUCAUUAGCAUCAGUGCUUACAAAAAAUCCCCUAAGGCACAAGUAUAUAUAUAACUUUUAAAAAAGGAAGUAAAGCUUUUAUCUAAAAUAGAACUUAAAACAGAAAUUGAAGCCAAAUUUGAUGAAAACUUCACACAUUUUAAGCUGACUGUAGGGUACAUACGACAAAUAGAUGUGGAGUGUUGCAAAACUGAAAUGUUAAAGCAACAGAGUCUGUAUACUGCCAAGAUAUGAGAGAAUUGUCCAAAAGCCCUUGGUGCAAUUAUAAUAAAUUAAAUACGCAAACUAUGCUGUGUAGUAUUUCUGAACUGUUUACUAUCCUGCCAUAAAAUGAUUUCUCAAUGGAGAAAAUUAUUUUUACAUGAAUUGUAGAUUUGUAACAGAAACAGGCAUCUUUCAGUAUAUAGCCUGAGAAAAAAUGAGGCUUUUCAGUUGAAUUCAGUUCUUUAUACAAGAAUAUCCUUUAAUUUGCAUUACUGCAACAAAAUUAAUAUUAGGGCCACCGACAGAGAUGUGAUUUACUACAAGUAAAGGGAUAGACUGGCAGAUUUAUACUCCCUAAGCACUUUCCCACAACAGCUCUUCUGAUGACAAGCCAACAUAGCAAGUUUUGGCUUGCAGUUUCGGUGGUUUGCAAACUGUUUCAUUUUGAAAGUAUGGGAGUUACUCAACACCGGGGGCCAAAUGAUGAUCUGAAUUGUGCUGGAGUUACACUCGUGCUUCUCUGGUUACUAUUUUGGAACAACUGCUAAUGCACACUACUGUUCAAAUCACGAACCACUCCAGUUUCCUAUACAUUGUAGAAGGUGGUGGAAGAAAGAAAAUUAAAUUCAUCUCAUCUGUGGUAGACCUUUGAAUGUGUCUGUCUUUUUUGCAUUAAGUCUAGGGAAAGCCUAGGGCACAUAUUUUGUACACCUACUGAACUGCCCUGUUAAGAUGCAUAUCUCUGCACUGACUGUAGGAGCAUUCUGGUUACCUAACUACCUCAGACCAAAAUCUUAACCUUUAUACAGCUAGAACAACACAAAAAGAGUCCCACUCUAGGAAAAUUGACUGGAGAAUGAGAUUAUGUAUUCUUCAUCAAUGCCUUUGAAGGAAAAUGGUCCUUUACAUUAGCAAUAUUUUUACUUGUAAAGGUGUUCAUACCGGUUUUUUUUAUAGCCCAGGUUAAUGAUAAAAUUUGCUAAACCUCAGAAGUCAUUGUAAUGUCAUCCUGCAAAAGAAAAUUUUAAAGAAUGCUUUCUAGGAAAAAUAAAGUGCAAAAUCAUGAAAUCUAGUGAAAAUAUUGUCCUCUGCUUUAUUCUUUCCA